GGCAAGUAUUGGAGUAUUUUGUAUUUUCUUCGUCUCGAAUUCUUAAAAUAUCCAUUCUUGUCAAUUUACAUUGCACAUAUGGGAGCGAAACAUCGAGAAGAAACUGACAAUUUCGAUCAGAUGCUCUAUAGUGAAUUGAAUCAACAAACAAACUAAAUAAUCAGAAGCCAUUGGAUGCGAGAAAGAAUUGAAUAAUUCACCUGAAUAUAUUUAUGAUAUUCACCUUCAUGGUGCUUAUAGCUAAGAGAAAUCAAGAUAUCGGGCGAAACAUCUGACAGACUAAGCAUUUUCACAAAAUUCAGGGGUGAAUUGAAUGAACUACCAAAAUGAAUGAUCUGGGCUAAGUGGGUCAGAAAAAUAUUAAAUAAAAUUUUCUGGAAAU
Diachasma alloeum is the source of this 382-nucleotide long non-coding RNA. RefSeq lists it as uncharacterized. The transcript is spliced from 3 exons. NCBI's taxonomy places the organism in Eukaryota, Metazoa, Arthropoda, Insecta, Hymenoptera, Braconidae. The record is from RefSeq and is a predicted model, not a curated record.